Molecule: ribosomal RNA, 253 nt
Filed under: uncultured bacterium
Lineage: Bacteria
Description: partial 16S ribosomal RNA
Rfam family: Bacterial small subunit ribosomal RNA
Source: RNAcentral
UACGAAGGGGGUUAGCGUUGUUCGGAUUUACUGGGCGUAAAGAGCGCGCAGGCGGUCGAUUUAGUCGCGUGUGAAAGCCCCCGGCUCAACUGGGGAGGGUCACGCGAUACUGAUCGACUCGAAGGCAGGAGAGGGUAGUGGAAUUCACGGUGUAGUGGUGAAAUGCGUAGAUAUCGGGAGGAACACCAGUGGCGAAGGCGACUACCUGGCCUGUUCUUGACGCUGAGGCGCGAAAGCUAGGGGAGCAAACGGG